GAGGGUAUGAAAGAGCUUCCUUCAGUCCACUCAUGGAUGGUUGUGGGGUUUGAAUUCGCUGCCGACUCAUUCAAUCAAACACUCGGUAGAAACAACAAUUCAAGCACGCUCAGUAGAAUCGAUGGAAUUGAUCCUCUAUUGAAGGCACGCACAAAAGUGGAACCAGACCUCAGUUACUGAGUGAAUGAGUGAAUGAUGCGGGAGAUUAUUCUCUCCUUCUCAUUCCAUGCUUGGACUGAAGGGAGCUCCCUCUUUCUCUUCU
MicroRNA precursor from Ananas comosus (pineapple), 262 nucleotides. It matches the Rfam family "MIR159 microRNA precursor family". NCBI's taxonomy places the organism in Eukaryota, Viridiplantae, Streptophyta, Magnoliopsida, Poales, Bromeliaceae. The record is from Rfam.